CCUACGGGUGGCAGCAGUGGGGGAUAUUGCACAAUGGGGGAAACCCUGAUCCAGCGACGCCGCGUGAGUGAAGACGUAUUUCGGUAUGUUAAGCUCUAUCAGCAGGGAAGAAACUGACAGUACCUGACCAAGAAGCCCCGGCUGACGACGUGCCAGCAGCCGCGGUAAUACGUAGGGGGCAAGCGUUAUCCGGAUUUACUGGGUGGUAAGGGAGCGUAGGCGGUUAUGUAAGUCUGGAGGGAAAGGCCGGGGGCCAACCCCGGGACUGCCUUGGAAACUGUGUAACUGGAGUACAGGAGGGGCAGGCGGAAUGCCGGGUGUAGCGGUGAAAUGCGUAGAUAUCAGGAGGAACACCGGCGGCGAAGGCGGCCUGCUGGACUGAAACUGACGUUGAGGCUCGAAAGCGUGGGGAGCGAACAGGAUUAGAUACCCCAGUAGUC
RNAcentral lists this ribosomal RNA (440 nucleotides) under uncultured bacterium. Its description in RNAcentral is "partial 16S ribosomal RNA". It matches the Rfam family "Bacterial small subunit ribosomal RNA", at positions 338 to 795 of the family's 1533-position model. The record is from RNAcentral.